CAGAGUUUUGCCUGAAAUCGUGGGACUUUCAUCCUGUGCAUCAUCCAGUCCUGUGUGGUUUAGUGUCCCACUGUCAACAGUCCUGGCUAAUCCCUACUAACUCCAGAGAUCAGAUGAAAUUUUCUUCAGCUGCCUUCCUUAUAUAUACCGGUGAAGGAAAGUACAUAACUAUGCUUUAUAAAGAUUCAUAAGCUUAUUAGAAGAAAACAAAGGGUCACUACCACAAGUCUCCUAAAAUCAAUACAAUAUGCUCCUGGUGACAUUGAAGAAGCAAGUUGGUUCUAGGACUAUGAAUAAAUAAAUUCUUCUAGUAACUACCUGACUUGGAAGAGGACUUUGAAACUCAGAUAAGACCCUGAUCUUGAUUGCAUCUUUGUGAAACCCUGAACAGAGGGCCCACUUAAGCUGAUCCUGGACUCCUGACCAUGGAAACUGUGAGAUACUACUGGCUGUAGUUGAUGUAUGACAAGAGGGAAGAGAAGAGAAACCUCAGUGACCCCAGUGGAGUUAAGAGCAUGGAACAGGACAUCAUCAGGUCUGGCACCAUUCUUUGAUAUCAAGUCCCCUAUCAACCACCACAAACUAAAAGUCCUACAUACCAGGAAGCCCCUCAUUCCUUCACAAAUCAGGAUGACUGAUCACUCUUAUUAAAAGAAAUGUUGAAUAAAAUAUUAUUGAAUGUAUACUAAA
Long non-coding RNA from Ictidomys tridecemlineatus (thirteen-lined ground squirrel), 690 nucleotides. RefSeq lists it as uncharacterized. The record is from RefSeq and is a predicted model, not a curated record. NCBI's taxonomy places the organism in Eukaryota, Metazoa, Chordata, Mammalia, Rodentia, Sciuridae.